Molecule: long non-coding RNA, 2294 nt
Filed under: Paramuricea clavata
Lineage: Eukaryota; Metazoa; Cnidaria; Anthozoa; Malacalcyonacea; Plexauridae
Source: RNAcentral
UGUCUGUGUGCACUGAUGCACGCUGCAUUAUUUUUAAUAAUGUUGUGUGCUAUUUUAACGCGUACAUAGAAUAUGACGCGUAUAAACAUUUACUCCUGAGCCGGAAUUUCCCUAUACAACCAAAAAGGCCGCUCCUGUUUUUCAGUAGAACGUUAAAUGAAAACUUCUCGACAUUCGCUGAUAUAAUGCAGAGAGAAAACAAUAGGUUUGAUGAGGGCCAGUAAUUAUUAUCAAUAAAAUAUUAAAACGGAGCUUUGAUUAACUGAUUCACCAUUUAUACUAGUGAACUGUUAAACUAUCGUGAUUUACACAAUUUUUGGAUAUUUACCAGACGAACCCCUAUCCACCGACCCGAGGUUAACGCCGAGUCGGCGUCUUGUAUGUUAUUAACAACAACAAUGGCAAAAGCGACAAACGACAAUAACAACAACGACAACAACUCUAAGACUACAAAACGAACAUAUAGUACAAUACAAACGAUUCAAAACGAUACUAAUUAGCUACAUUAAGUGACUUAAUUGAAGGCAUGGCAAGUGUUUUGAAACUUGGGGUUGAUAACAGACAUAUCAAAAGUUCAAAGUCGUGGAUAUAUUCACGUACGGUUGAUCGAUUCAAGAACAAUUGUUUUAAAAUUAUUGAAAAGCUUUAUACCAUCUAGAUACAAGAGCGUGUGUUGCUUUUGAAUCGAUUGAUUCGCAUUUCUUUUAGUUGACAAAACGUUCCAUAUUAAUAUUUGACUAAUUUGAGUUUGAAUUUCGCAAUAUUUUUUAAAAUUUGUUAUUGUCAUUCAAAUUAUUAACCGUUAAUUCGAUUAAAAGGUCAUGGAAGAUGAUAGGUCAAUUUUCCUUCAAGUUCCGUUCUACUUCCGGUUACAAUGUCGAAUUUACUUCCGUCACCAGCUGUUGCGGUGCACAUUGAACGAAAGAUUUUCGGCGUUUCAUCCCUUUCUUAUUUAUGUACGGGUUACACCCUCGGCAUCCUUUCGUAAGAUGUUCGGAAAUAGUCGUUGCAAUGCAAUAUGUUUGAAUUACAUGAAGUAGAAGGCAUGAUAUUAUCGAAAAAAUAAAAAUCAGCUAAUUUUGAUCCUUUUAUGACUAUGUCUGCGGAUUGUUGUGAUAUAAAUAUGGGAUAUUCGUUGAUGACAAGGUAUUUAUAGAACACAAUCGUACUUUUCUGCCCCCUGUGUAUACGUGCGUAAAAUAGCGUGUGCAUGUUUUAAAUAUUUUGUUUCGUAUUUUAUAGGAUGUUCUGGAGGCUACAACCUCAACCUUUAUCCUCAAUUAGAAAGUUUUGUUUCUACCACGUUUACGAGAAUCAUCCUCCUCCCCCCCCUCCCCCGCCAACCCCGCACAAAUAGUAUUAGGCCAAAUGAAAAAAAAUACUUGGUUAGCGUCAACGCCCGCAUUUUUUUUGUUAUGUAAAUCUCUUCGCUUUACAGUUUAAAACAGUUUAAUAUUUGAAUUUAUUCUCAUUUUUUCGCGCUAUAUACUGAUCGAUAGUAGCGCAUGGGCUUGGGUAUUAUCAGCACAAAAAUAUCACCGAUAUGGCGGAAAAAUUGCCCCCAUCUCCCCCAAAAAUACUGUUAAAAAACGAGUAAAAAUUUUAAAAAACGCCCUCCCGCCUCUGAACAUUUGUGAGAGUGUGACGCUAACCAAGUAUUUUUUUUAUUUGGCCUUAGAUGCGGCAGGUUAUUUCAAUCAUUCCAUCUUCUAGGUGAUAUGGUUCACAUAUUAGGCCUUUUUAUUUUUCUCUAGUUUUUAUAGAUACAAGGCCUGGAGUCCAUAAUCAAACAAAAACGUUAUAGAGAUAUUUGUGCAUUAACAACUGAAGUGUGCGACGGCGUGAAUAUUCGUAUCGUGCAGGGGCCGCGGAAAGUGAAAAGUGCCGUUUUUCUGGGCUAAAGUGGCCAUAUAAAGAACGAAAAAAGAAUUUCUUGACUGAAUGCCCUCUUUUGCUGGAAAGAAAGUGCCCUUUUCGCAGUAUUAAAGACUCUGUAAAGGCCAUAUCCGAAGUUAUAGAGACUCCAUAUUUUCAAAAAUUUUCGUUCGGCUCAUGAACGACAUAAAAUCGAUUAAUUUUGGUUAUACAGCUUUUUUAUAUUAAAUUAGCUUUUUUAUAAAUUAGCUUCUUUAUAAAUUUGGUUAUACAGCUAUUUUGUUAAUUAUACAGCUAGAAAAUUAAUAAUUGUUUUAGUCAUUCCCGGCAGCCUUUCACGCUUGUAUUCCACUUUUAUGCAGUAAUGUAGGAAGAUGUUCUGUGAUUGGUUGAUUAUGACAAUGACAAACAAAGCAAGA